AACGCUUUGGCGUUCGCGGCCUAAGGCCGUGCGUCGGACUCAAGCGCCUACUGCUUGAACCCCCGGCGUCAUUGAAGUAGGGCACGGGCCUCGCCUAAGCUUUGCAGCGGGGCCGGCAUGAUGAAGCUACCGGAGAGGGCAUCCUGCCUAUGGGAGGCCAUCGAAGGGAAUUUUAGAACAUAGGCUGCGCUCGGAGAUGCCUGGGCUUUCGGGUUUUCGGACGGGGGUUCGAUUCCCCCCGCCUCCACCA
Molecule: transfer-messenger RNA, 250 nt
Filed under: Oscillospiraceae bacterium
Lineage: Bacteria; Bacillati; Bacillota; Clostridia; Eubacteriales; Oscillospiraceae
Description: partial transfer-messenger RNA
Rfam family: transfer-messenger RNA
About the family: Bacterial tmRNA, also known as 10Sa RNA or SsrA, is named for its dual tRNA and mRNA-like properties. Its role is to liberate the mRNA from a stalled ribosome. To accomplish this part of the tmRNA is used as a reading frame that ends in a translation stop signal.
Source: RNAcentral